Molecule: ribosomal RNA, 355 nt
Filed under: uncultured bacterium
Lineage: Bacteria
Description: bacterial SSU rRNA
Rfam family: Bacterial small subunit ribosomal RNA
Source: RNAcentral
AUUGAACGCUGGCGGCAUGCCUUACACAUGCAAGUCGAACGUGAAAGCGGGGCAACCCGCAAGUAGAGUGGCGGACGGGUGAGUAAUACAUCGGAACGUGUCCAGUAAUGGGGGAUAACCUAGCGAAAGUUAGGCUAAUACCGCAUACGAUCUGCGGAUGAAAGCGGGGGAUGCGGCACUAAAGGCUUUUGGCGAAGGUGGCCAAAGGUGAGUCAAGAGCUUUUAGUGCUGCACCUCGCGUUAUUGGAGCGGCUGAUGUCUGAUUAGCUAGUUGGUGAGGUAAGGCUUACCAAGGCGACGAUCAGUAGCUGGUCUGAGAGGACGGCCAGCCACACUGGGACUGAGACACGGCCCA